CAACAAAAAAUUAAGACACAUUGAAAACAAUUUUAAAUAAUACUUGGUGGUGGAGCUUUUCAAACUUACGUUCGUGAAGUAAACCUUGUAUAUUUAAAAAUUAAAAUAUCAUAAAAAGGCUUGUC
This is a regulatory RNA element of Siansivirga zeaxanthinifaciens CC-SAMT-1, 125 nucleotides long. It matches the Rfam family "Bacteroidete tryptophan peptide leader RNA". Lineage: Bacteria; Pseudomonadati; Bacteroidota; Flavobacteriia; Flavobacteriales; Flavobacteriaceae. The record is from Rfam.